Molecule: unclassified non-coding RNA, 5450 nt
Filed under: Leishmania donovani
Lineage: Eukaryota; Euglenozoa; Kinetoplastea; Trypanosomatida; Trypanosomatidae
Description: gene:LdHU3.32.4160(CDS-product:hypothetical_prote in_conserved)
Source: RNAcentral
GGGACCACGCCAUCCUUUUGAUUGCCGUGAGGUGCCACGGACACGCACACGCAUACACAUACGCACACACGAAAGAAUGCGGAGAGGCGGUGGAGAGAGAAGCGGGGCGGAACGCUUGCUUUCCUCUGCAUCCACUCCCACGACGGUGGAACGCUCAGUGUCGCCCUUCACCUCCCUAGACACCUCCUUCGCCCAAUCACUCAACGGCUACGGUGACUACGACGACGAAGACUCGACCGCCUUCGCAUCACCAGGGUCGUUUUCUCCACACGCGUACCACUCGCACACGAAAUCGCUGACGCCGACUCCUCCGCCGUCAGCGGUGGCUUCUCCUAUGCUUAUUCUAGGAGACGCAUCUGAUUCCGCUGCGCUCGACCGCGAGGUACAGCCGGAAGAGCAGCACAUCGAAGAGUUCGUGCCACUCCCCGCGAAGUCGUCCCAAGUGCUUCCGGCGCUGUCGUUUCACAGCUCAUUUUUCUCGUACACAACAGAUUCAUCAAUUUCAGCCGAGCCUCUGCUCACGUCCAAGUCUCCAGCGCUCGUCACGUAUCCUUCCAGCACUGCAUCACCAGGCGGAAGAGCGCCGUUGCAACGGACAGGGUCAUCGUCGCCACAGAGUCAGCCCUCGGCACCUGCUUCCUUGAGCGCAGUACACGAGGCAGGGCAGAGUCCCGACGUGAAGGAAGAGAAAACGUUCCCUUUUUCUUCGUCCCUAUCGUCUUCCGCAGUGCUGGCGGAGAUACAGACCACGAUCUCUCAGCUGACCACGUCCUCCUUUCCCAUGCCGCCGCCCCUUGUCGCGGCGAGUGCGAUGACGACGCAGGUGCUGCCUUGUUGCACAGACGACGAGGGGCAGCAUUGCAGCCGCGCUUCAUCGCCCGCCAUGGCAUCCUCGCCGCUGUCACCGUGGGCUCCGCGAACAGCAGAUAGGCCGCAAGCUGAGGAACGCGAGCUGAGGCGCAGCGGGUCAUCGGCGAAAGACCCAGGUGCUGCCGAUACCGUGUUGACACUGCCGUUGACAGCGCUGGACGAAUUGCCGCCACCAACCCCGCUGUCGUCCUCGUCGUUCUUCUCCGCCUCCCCAUCGGUUGCGUCGCCGCUGUCGGCCGUGGCCGCCUCACUCAAUGAGACGCCCGUCCGUGCAUCUCUGUCCCAUCUGGCCACAAGCCUUCUUUAUGCGGACGGUGCAGAUCCCCUGGCGGACGAGCGGCACACACAGAGCCGCAUCAACACCGCGGCGCUGCCGUGGGUGCCGAUGCUGCUGCCGACCAUGCCAGGCCCGAAGCGCAGACAGCAGCGGGGGACAAAUACGCUCCCCCCACAUGCGGAGGGCCACGGCGAUGCACAAUGCGUCGCUCAAGCCGAUGAUAAGCCAGCGGCGAAGCGGAGGCGGACGAGGAAGGGAACCAAGGAGGAGGCGUCGACGACUGGCGAGGUGGUCUUGAUCGCGGAGAGGGGCAUGCCGGCUCCAGCGCCACUUCCGCAACCACCUUCAGCGAGGCGGAGGCGGACAUCCAAGACAGCAACGAAGGACGCUCAUCAGAGCGCGGCUCCGACAAGGGUAAGCAAGGAUGCCAGACUUGCACCAAUGCCGAGGGCAGAAGCACCACUUGACCAGAAAGAGAACUGUGACGGUGCACAAGGCCUUAAAGAGUCUUCGAAGGACCACUCGUCUGCAUCCCGCACCGAACCGGGGCACAUCUCUCUACCACCAAACUCCGCGAAGCCGUCCACGGCACUCCAUCCACAAGAGCUGAUGGUCCUGGCUGGUGACGUGCCCCUAUCCCACCUAUUCGCGACCAGCAGUGACUUGAACGCGGACUCCAAGUCCACGGCGCCUGCCGCUUGCCAACCCCCAGCUGCUCCAUCAGUGCCGUCGCAGUCCCAAAGGGAGAGGUGGAGGAGGACGCGUUUCCGGAAGGCCGGAGUUCCACACACUGCGGCGGCAGCUGUGGAAGAUGGCGCCGCACCAUCGGCGGGGCGGGUUGCUGCGGAAGCGUCCCGAGAGGAGGCGGAGCCAGCCCCCGCAGCCGCAACCUCAUUACCACUGUGUCUGUCAUCACCGCGAGCGCCCCAACUGCCUGCACGCUCGGAAAAGCUCGACGGCAGCGGUGCGAAGGCCGAGUUGCCAGCUAGCGGUGAUACCUCGGCAGCACGGAGUCUUGGCGCGGCAAGAAGAGGAAAAACAUCGACAUUCUCACUGACGCUUCCAGCCCGGAAACGGAGAACAUUGCAGACGACACCCGCUGUCACUACUGAAACCCCGUCAUCCACAGGGGGCGGCGACACCAGCGGCUCCGAUGGCGCCGUCACGCAUGUUGCAUCCACCUCGAAGCGUGCCGCCGAUGUACAGCCAUCGCUUCUGCAGGCAUGGUGGUCUGCAGUGUGCACCUCUGCAUCAUCCUCGGAGUCGGGCCGAUCCUGCUUGUGGGUUGAACUGUCGGAGGGAUAUCAAGAGGCCCACGGGACACUGCUGCGUCAGGUCCUCGUUUACUGGGGAUGGCUUCAUAGCGAGAGCUCCGUCACCCACCGCGGAGGUCUGGAGCUGCCGACUGGUGCCUCGACUCUGUCAAGUUCCACACCAAAGUGCACGAGCCGCAAGCGCGCGCGUGACAGGAAGCACAGCGAGACCAGCGCUGCCGGUGCAAGCGCGCAGCUUGAACGCACGGACAGGAGAGCCAAUAAUGGUUUGGUGGUGCUGCUUUGCCCAUCGCCACUGCCCAUGGAGGAGGCGCUGCGGUGGUGGACGCAGCGCGCGCAUGUGGAGCACAGCUUUAUGCCACCGCUACUGGCCGUCUCCAUGUCAGCGGACCCUCAAUCGAGUGUCCUAGGGAGUUCUGAUCGAGUGCCUAGCGCUUCCCGGGUGGCGCCGACGCCGGAGGAGGAGUAUGAGCUGCUCAGGGGCGCGAUUCAGCUGGCAUCAAGCGUGUACUGCACUGACGCGGCUCGCAGUCUCGCGGUGUCGUGCACCGCCGCCGGGCACGCUGCACUAGCACAACUCUUGUCGCUGAAUCAGGUAUUCGAUAGUUUGCAGGUCUGCGCCGACGCGCUCAGGUCUGCCGCGGGCUUACCUUCCACUUCCUCACUUGUGCAGACGCCCCUGGAAGAAGAUGCUGACGUGGGCAGUCUGACCGCGGUCUUGGCUGUUACCGCGCUUGUGCAAGGCACGGACAGUGGCAGUGGCAGCGCAAAGGAGGGGCGGCGUGCUGCUUCGCUGCAGGAGCGGUACUUUGCAGAGCUAUGCCGGUGGAACGGCUUGGCUGCCGCACUGCAGCGACAGCCGCGGCGACCGCAGCUCGUUCUCCGCCGCGUUCGUGUGGACCCGCUGCACCGAAACGGUGGCGCAUCGAAGAGAAAAAAAACGCCGGUCGGUCCUACUGUACCGCCUUCGGCUUUGAUGGACGCCAGCGAGGGGGUGCUGUACGCUCCGAGUGUCGCCGGCUCCUCGCUGCUGCCAGAAGAACGGCGUCAGUGGGUCACGUAUGGGAUGGUUCUGCCCGCCACGCGCAACGAGGACACGUUUGCAAGCAGUGCGCGUCGUGAGGACCGUGUACUGGCGUCGCAGCCACCGCCGGUGGCGCUCGCGCCGGCGCACCUAUCCGCUCUUCACCUCUUCGGCCGAGUGCUGUUCACUCCCGGCAACUACGCGACAGCGGUGAACGUUGUGGAAUCUUACGCACGUGUAUCGCAGCAGUGCUUGACGGACUACAUCUCCGACUACAGCUGCGUCAUGACAGGCCCGCUGCGCUAUUCUGUGUCGGCAACGAUUCGACGCUAUUUGCAGGUGCGCGUGGUAGUGGAGCUGGCGCCGUUGCUAGCGUUGGUGAGCAACGGGGCCGCUGCGCAGCCGCUAGCCUCGACGAGGCUCUCGGCUGCUGGCGCUUGCAUUUCACCUCCGAGCACAUCGACUUUGUUAGCUCCUGUGGCGCUUUUCGCCCGCUCGAAAUGGCGCACUGUCGUGCUGAGCUUGUCCUGCACGUGCAAACCCCGCUUAUAUGAACAGGUGCCUCGCACGGACGAUGGCGUGAAGGUGUGCCGCCACGUCGCGGAGCUCUUUCACUACUUCACCACCCAGCAGUUUUCUGUAGUAGGCCAUCAGGCGGUGCAGCGAGAGCAGCCACUGCCGCAGCACCAGGUUCAGAGAGCACUAGCUCGAGUCGACCCGAUGCUUUAUUCACGGAGUCUCCCACCCCUAUCACCGCGUACUACGUCAUCAGAGAAGCGGCAGCUGUCACAUCGCAGCCGCACGAGCACGAGCACCAGCAGCUCCAACUCGAGCACCAACGCCAUUUUGAGCAGCUUGCCCUUGCCGGCGCUCUACACGCGCUUCUUCGACCUCUGUGCCGCUUCAGAGGGGACUGCCCGUAAGCAAGAGAAGAAUGAAGUCUCUGGAUCGGAUAGCACAGACUCCGCAUCCCCGGCACGGCCUCCAGCGCGGUGCCGUUCGCUGCAACGCAGCGCGACCGCCGCACUGUCGCCUGCGACACCGAGUAAGGCACCACGGACAAGGCCUUCGAAGAAGGCACAGCGCUCCUCCACAGCGGCAGCGGCCAAUGCUUCGGUGACCUCCUCGGUGGCCGCCUCAGCAGCGGGCACAGACUUCCACACUCAAGCGCUCCAGUACGCGCUGCGGCUUCUGCAAGAGCGUCUGCGCGACGGCAGCGGAGAGAGGACUGCGGAUGGCGGCGCGGCAUCCCUUGCAGCAGCAGCAGCCACGGGAGACGGUGGGUUGCUGUUCCGCCCCAGCGGUCCGUCACCACCCGCGCUCGCACGGAAGCGCACCCGCUCAGAGGACGUUAGUCCAGGAGAGACAGAGCAUGCGCGGGCACUACGACUGGUGGAACAGCUGCUGCGCGAUCAGCUACGCUGACGGCGCCGCAAGGGCACGCAUCUGCGUGCGCUCGCGCUUUGCACGCAGAUGGAGGGCUUGGCAGGCGGUCUUGCAGAGGGGGUGGGCGGGUGGGGUGAGACGAGCAGAGUCUUGCACGGGAGCAUGCACAGCCUGCAUCAGUGCAGCUGAUCUUCUUGCCUUGCUCACAUACAGACGCACAAGCGCUUUUACUGUGCACAAGCACACGAGCAACGCUCAUGUGCCGCGCGCGCAGGUCGACCCAUCGCCAGGAGAUGGGCGCCGUGCGUGGCGACUUCAGCAACUAGGAUCCAGAAGCACCAUGCACCACUUGGAGUCAGGAUGGGCACCCUUGUUCUUCCCUUGCGUGCCCGACACUGACGGGUGCCAGCCUGGCUUUGCACCACACUCACAAGCAGUCAGAUGCGAGCGUUUGUUUCACUUUGACAAGGCCGUGUGACGCGUGCCACAUGUCUUCUGUACUGCUCUCCAACUCAUCUGCUCUUCUCGCACCCGCAUACGGACCUGUCUGCGUCUUGCUUGGAUUGUCGUGUGCGUGUGGAUGCGCAUUCGUGUGCGGGGAGGACGCUGGCACACACAG